GACGAACGCUGGCGGCGUGCCUAAUACAUGCAAGUUGAGCGAUGAAGAUUGGUGCUUGCACCAAUUUGAAGAGCAGCGAACGGGUGAGUAACGCGUGGGGAAUCUGCCUUUGAGCGGGGGACAACAUUUGGAAACGAAUGCUAAUACCGCAUAACAACUUUAAACAUAAGUUUUAAGUUUGAAAGAUGCAAUUGCAUCACUCAAAGAUGAUCCCGCGUUGUAUUAGCUAGUUGGUGAGGUAAAGGCUCACCAAGGCGAUGAUACAUAGCCGACCUGAGAGGGUGAUCGGCCACAUUGGGACUGAGACACGGCCCAAACUCCUACGGGAGGCAGCAGUAGGGAAUCUUCGGCAAUGGACGCAAGUCUGACCGAGCAACGCCGCGUGAGUGAAGAAGGUUUUCGGAUCGUAAAACUCUGUUGGUAGAGAAGAACGUUGGUGAGAGUGGAAAGCUCAUCAAGUGACGGUAACUACCCAGAAAGGGACGGCUAACUACGUG
RNAcentral lists this ribosomal RNA (497 nucleotides) under uncultured bacterium. RNAcentral's name for it is "partial 16S ribosomal RNA". It matches the Rfam family "Bacterial small subunit ribosomal RNA", at positions 28 to 507 of the family's 1533-position model. The record is from RNAcentral.